Molecule: long non-coding RNA, 2009 nt
Organism: Phasianus colchicus (ring-necked pheasant)
Lineage: Eukaryota; Metazoa; Chordata; Aves; Galliformes; Phasianidae
Source: Ensembl
UUCCCUCCAACAGUGAAGGCAAUGCAUGUCCCUCAGGUACCCACCUUGUCACUCCUGACUGGCACUUUGAAACAAUCCAUGUAAAUACAGAUCAUAUCCAGCAUCUGAGUGCUUUUAGGCAUUUUUAGUCAGAUAACAACUGCAAUCCUCCUCUCUUUUUACCACUUUAGUAAGUUUAGUUGGCUUAGAGAUGGUUUUUCUAUGGUUUGUCUUCAUAAGGCCCUCGGCACAGCAUACACAUACUUAAAGCUUUCCAGUAUUAUCUGAGUGAGAAGGACUUUCAACACAGUGCAGGUGCUUCACAUUGACCUGAUCGUGGUGGGACCAGCACCUGGGGAGGCUGCCUUAUCUUGGUCAGUGGGUUCCCCAUCUCAAGCUCCUGCCUCAACAAGAUCUUGCCCUCAGGUGGCAGUUUCAUCAUUCAGAUAACAGACAUAUCCUGUGGCAUGUUGGAUGAAGAAACAUCUCAGGUACUUCAUCAGGCAUUUACAUACUAGGACUGAGAACUGAGCAGCAGUGCCAGAUGUUUCUCUUCUGUCUUUUUUUUUGAUGCUGUCAGGCCGAGAUAUUCUUAAUUUAUUUAUCAGCCACAGAAGGUUCUCAGGGUUCUCACAGAUCAGUGUGCAGAGUACACUUCUGGUGCACUGAAAGUUCAAAAGCCAGUGAAUGGACAGCAAGUUUGUCACCUUCCCACCAAAGCUGCUGCAUCCCUGAAUGGAUUUUUGCCAUUUUGCUUGCAAAGGAUGAUGAGCUGGGCCAUUGGAGAGGAAGAGCCAUUUCCCCCAGGGCUCUCCCUCAGGCCCUGUGCAGCCUGCUCUGCACUCUCUUCAACCCCUAUCACAGACAGAGGUUGUCCCCAGCCUCUCCUCAAAACUGCUCUUGCUGCCUGCAGAAGGCCAGAGGGCCAGGAAAUCCUAACAGAUCUGGAUCCUUGUGGAGCACCACCAAGACUCACCACUGGCACGCUGACCACCAGCAGCUGACGGUGACCGCUCUCACAGGGGGAAGGUGCUGAGUGUCUCGAAGAGAGCUGUGUAACAGCAACACCUCCUGGAGGCCGGAGAGCACUGGAGAACCAUUGCUGCCUGUGCAGCUUGUUGCUCUCACCCGCCAGAGUGCAUUACUAAUAAUGCUGAAGUUUGGAAUAAUAAUUAAGAUACAUCACUAACUGUGCGUGCAUUUAUUGCUUCAUUUAGCAGUAAUUGAAAACUGUGCUUUUUUUUAAAAAAAUAACUCUUUCGGAGUCUUUUUUGCUCACACUGCUUUUAACGGUUAACAUUUAGUAUUUUAAUUACACCGGAUUUAUGGGUCUUAGUCUCUGCUCUAUACACCCUUUGUCUGAGGAUAUGAAAAAGCAGAGGAGCACCCUGCUGCUCAGUGGCUCAGCUGCCUCUUGUCCCCUCUGAGUAGCACGAGCCGCCAGCGCCCAGAGCAGCGCUCCUAAUCCUGAUGCUGAAGUAGAGCUCCCAGAGCCACAGGCAGGCAGCCCAAGAGCAUCGGCCUUCACUUGCAGUCAGCUGAGUGCCUGCAGUUUUCUUCAUUUUAAACAGAAGCAUAGAAUCAUAGAAUAUUCUGAGUUGGAAGAAUCAUAAGAAUCAUCAAGUCCAGCUCCUGACUCCACUCAUGACCACCCACAGCCUUCCUGUAAACAAAUCCCUUGAUGCUGGAGAGGCUUUAAGGACCUUUUGCACUGGGGCUUCUAAGGUUUUGCCAAAGAAGACAGGAGAGUCUUUCCACAGGCUGCUGCAGGACGGUUUUGUGAGCGCAGACAGGAAGCUGUGCUAAUGGCAGGAGGACUCAUUUAACUCUCUGGCCUCAGUUUCUGGCAAUAUUUUCCUUGACAAAGUAUCUCAGAGAGCUACUGCCUAGUAAUAACAAUAAUAAUAAUACUUCUAACUAGGUCUUUGAACAGAGAUGCAACCAAUCAUUUUCACACCACUGUUGCAAGGUACUGCUGUACUGCUAGAACAGAGAGAGAGAACUGAAGCCCUGAGUGAAGGAAUCUGAGA